CUACGGGUUGCACCAGUGGGGAAUAUUGGACAAUGGGCGCAAGCCUGAUCCAGCCAUGCCGCGUGAGUGAUGAAGGCCCUAGGGUUGUAAAGCUCUUUCACCGGUGAAGAUAAUGACGGUAACCGGAGAAGAAGCCCCGGCUAACUUCGUGCCAGCAGCCGCGGUAAUACGAAGGAGGCUAGCGUUGUUCGGAUUUACUGGGCGUAAAGCGCACGUAGGCGGACUAUUAAGUCAGGGGUGAAAUCCCGGGGCUCAACCCCGGAACUGCCUUUGAUACUGGUAGUCUUGAGUUCGAGAGAGGUGAGUGGAAUUCCGAGUGUAGAGGUGAUAUUCGUAGAUAUUCGGAGGAACACCAGUGGCGAAGGCGGCUCACUGGCUCGAUACUGACGCUGAGGUGCGAAAGCGUGGGGAGCAAACAGGAUUAGAUACCCGCGUAGUC
RNAcentral lists this ribosomal RNA (439 nucleotides) under uncultured bacterium. Its description in RNAcentral is "partial 16S ribosomal RNA". It matches the Rfam family "Bacterial small subunit ribosomal RNA", at positions 339 to 795 of the family's 1533-position model. The record is from RNAcentral.